CUACGGGUCGCUCCAGUGAGGAAUAUUGGGCAAUGGGCGCAAGCCUGACCCAGCCAUGCCGCGUGAAGGAUGACUGCCCUAUGGGUUGUAAACUUCUUUUGUACGGGAAGAAUGGUUCCUACGUGUAGGGAUUUGACGGUACCGUAAGAAUAAGCAUCGGCUAACUCCGUGCCAGCAGCCGCGGUAAUACGGAGGAUGCAAGCGUUAUCCGGAUUCAUUGGGUUUAAAGGGUGCGCAGGCGGAAUAUUAAGUCAGUGGUGAAAUCCUGCAGCUUAACUGUAGAACUGCCAUUGAUACUGAUAUUCUUGAAUGUAGUUGAGGUAGGCGGAAUGUGUAAUGUAGCGGUGAAAUGCUUAGAUAUUACCCAGAACACCAAUUGCGAAGGCAGCUUACUAAACUAAUAUUGACGCUGAGGCACGAAAGCGUGGGGAGCGAACAGGAUUAGAUACCCCCGUAGUC
Molecule: ribosomal RNA, 459 nt
Filed under: uncultured bacterium
Lineage: Bacteria
Description: partial 16S ribosomal RNA
Rfam family: Bacterial small subunit ribosomal RNA
Source: RNAcentral